RNAcentral lists this ribosomal RNA (254 nucleotides) under uncultured bacterium. RNAcentral's name for it is "partial 16S ribosomal RNA". It matches the Rfam family "Bacterial small subunit ribosomal RNA", at positions 524 to 776 of the family's 1533-position model. The record is from RNAcentral.
UACGUAGGGCGCGAGCGUUUAUCCGGAAUUAUUGGGCGUAAAGAGCUCGUAGGCGGUUUGUCACGUCUGCUGUGAAAACUGGAGGCUCAACCUCCAGCCUGCAGUGGGUACGGGCAGACUGGAGUGCGGUAGGGGAGAUUGGAAUUCCUGGUGUAGCGGUGGAAUGCGCAGAUAUCAGGAGGAACACCAAUAGCGAAGGCAGCUCGCUGGGACGUUACUGACACUGAGGCGCGAAAGCGUGGGGAGCGAACAGG